CUAGCAGAUUGCAUCCUGUAUAUAAUCUCUGGUAAGAUCUAAGUUUAUUUCUUUUAUUUACCAGGUGUAUUACUCCUGUGGUGCAGUGGUGGAGUCAAUGGAAAGAGGCCUGAUUUUAUCACCAGGUUUUCCAAACAACUACUACCCAGGGACACACUGCGUUUGGCAAUUUUUCAUUCCCAUGAGAACCCAUCUUAUCUUGGAAAUUUUUGACUUUGACAUCUUUGAGAGCUCUAGUGAACCUCAACCCCCCUGGGAAGGCUUUUCAGCCCCCACUAAAACAGGAAAUAAGGACGUACCUUUUCCUGGGGAAAACCUGGACUUGGCUCUCCAUACUACAAAACCCUCUCUCCAGACCUGGAUGUCAAAGGUGGCUCAGAAUCUGAGCACAGGAGAUCAGUCAAAGGACCUUGCUAGUCAUGUGGAUGAACUUCCAGGAUCAGCCUCAAAAAAAGAUGAAGCUAAACAAGCAUCUGAAGAAAACCAGUCAAAGCAGAUGAAGGAACCCAAAGUGAUGACCAAGGCUCAGCCAGAAGAACUGCCACUCCCUGUGGCUGGUAGUGCCACAACACGGAGGCAAAAUACCAGUGGCCUGGAAAGAGAAGAAGAUUUGAAAGGGAAAAUAUUGCUUGCCCACCUUGCUGCUAGUGAGAGAGAUGAAGUUACAGUAGAGACCUGGACUCUUCCCACAACACUAUUGCCUGUGGAAAUCUCCUCCAGCCCACAGUCAGCAGUGGAUGUCUGUCCCCAUGACGUACUAUACGUUUCUGAUCUCAUCACAUUUUCCUCUCGCUUCUGUGGACCAAAUUCACCUUUAAACAAGACCAUGGUCUUUGGUUCAUCUCUGGAAAUGGUUGAGGUUAUCAUGGAACUGAUCACUACCACAGACCGGGGCCGAGGCUUUGCAAUGCUCUUUGAAUACAAGAACAUCACUGAACCUAACACUGUAGAUGCUGUGAGGCAGGAGAGAAAGGAAAACAUGAUGAUGCUGGCAAUUAUAACAGGGACCGUCUUCUUUGCACUUGCUUUGCUCUCUGCCCUCUGCAUAGCUUGGAGGCAGAGAACGUGCCCCAAAAGGAGCUCAUCCAACGCAUGCAGUGACCAGGAGAAUGGGAUCCAGAACUCCGCCGUCGAUAUCAAUGAGCUCCAGCUGGUGGUGCCAAGUCGGGAGAAUGAAAACAACAACCACUCUGUCAGCCGGGAGCAGGCGGUCCCUUCCUGCGGAGGCAGCACAGAACGGUCUCCUCAGGACACUGACCCAGAUGUGCCCUCCUCCAUAUCCGCAGUGACCACCGAGACUGGGAGUGAUGAAGUGUUUAUUAUAUCUGCUGGACCUGGGGCCAGCGGGCUGAGCUUUACCACCUACAGAAUACAGGACAAAAACCUAAAAAGAAGUGUCACAAGCCCAGCCUCUGUGUCUGACUGGCUGACUUCUAAUCACACAGCUGCAGGAGCAGAUGCUGUUGAGAAGGGAAAUGUCCAGCUGGAAAAUCAGUGUCCCAGACAACGCACGUGGAGUGCCCGCACUUUCCAUGACUUCCUGGCUCCAAUACCACAGCUACAGAAAAAAUGGUGUAGCUGGACCACCAACAGUCCCUUCACAAAGCUGGUUGACAGCAGUGGUUUUCCUACAGCUGCAAGAUCCCAAGGUGUCCCAACUAGAAAGGUAAUCUCAGCCACUGAGAUAGAGGGAGCAUCAGAGACCAUUUACUCUGAUUCAUCUGCCAGUAAUGCCUCAUAUCCCCUCACUCUGUCUGCACAAAGGCAGAGGAAGCUAAGUUCCUGCAAUUUGAAGAAAUCCAGGUUUGGGAAUCCUUAUUUUGGAUUUUUAGCCAGUUCCCCUGACAGCAAAAAUGUGAGGUCCCUGGAUCCCUCAAGACAUCUAGGGGCAGCAUCUUCAGUUAACAGCCAAAGCCCCAAAAAUCUUCUAGAGAGCUCCAAUCCACUGAAAAUCAACUUGGUCAAUGGUUCAAAAACAAAAGAGCCCAUGGUAGAAACAGAUAAAAACAAACCGGUUUUUGUUAUUUCGGAAGAAGGGGACGAUCAGCAGCCUCUGGUCCUAGCAGAACAUCUUAAUCAAUGUGGAGAUCAUCUGUCAGAGCAAAAUGCUGUGUAUGCUCCAGCUGUGCCAGAUAAACAGCCAGCGGUUCUGACUGUUGAGGGCAAGAAUUCUGCCAGCUUCACGUCAAAUCUUCCCCUUUGGGCAAAAUCCCCUAGUUUAUACAAAGGUCACGUGAAGGCCCCUAGCUCUUUUAGGGACCAGCAGAGCUCAUCAGCUGUAGAUGCUACUACUACUGAGACCCCUCAGAACUGUGAGACCCUAGCUGCUCCUACGCUAUGCCAAGCUUCAGUCCAGUGAUGCCCUCAGAAAGACUGAAACAUCGGUUCACAAAAACAGAGGCAACAGGGACGUGACCAGAGUGGAAGCUGUGCCAAGUAGAUGAGCGUGGCAGUCAUAGAUGGAUGCAACUCCGUUAAGAGCAGGCUCUGCUUCCCACCCGUUGGGACUGAGAUGACAAGGAUACGUACCAUAGCACAGCACAGAUGCCAUCUUCCCCCUGUGCUCAUUAACCUCAUCUCUAUUCUGCUGCAUGAAAUUUUGAUGUGGUUUAUACAAGCAAGCAUCCUCUGAAAAGGUACUUCAGACUGCAGAAAACCUUUUCUGGAAUGAGGAAUGAAAGUCAUCUGAGAUGGUUACAUCGUGGUUUAUAUCUGAAAUGUAAAUCAGUCCUCUGUUACUGUGGUAUCACUUGAGUCUUUCUGUUGGGAGCUAUGAGUUAAAUUCUGUUUAUAGCUACGCCUGUACAAUCCAAGCCUUGCCAAGCCAAGGGUAAGAAUUCAAUCAUGCAUGUUUGCGUACAGUUUUGUAAACUUAAUUUUAAGCAUUUCAUAACUUCUGCACUCUAGCACAAAGUUUACCAAGCAUUAGCAUCUCUAAUAUUAAAGACCAUGAUUAUCUCAUAUCCUAACUCUUUAGAGAAGUGUACAGACAAGCUGAGCAACUCAAUACUGGAUGCUAGUUCUAUAAAAGUCUCAUGUAGCUUUAUCUUUAUUAGAUCUACAUAGGCUUAAAACACCUCAGUCCACCACAUCUUUAAGUGGCUCCUCAUGGCAACAGAAGCAUGUGUACAAAAACACUGAAAUACUAGGAAUAGCCUUCAGCAUCCAACACUUGGAUACUUGCAGCUGCUCUUAUCCUAUAUCCACCAGCUAUUUAUUGCUGGUAACGCACAUUGACUAGAGAACUAUUUCCCUUCCUUUAGCAGGCAAGACUUAAAAGAUACAAUUAAGUGGGGCAAAAUUUGAGUGCUCACUUUCUUUAGAAACGAACUACUAAGUGGCUGUGCCUCCCUGAUUACAUAUCCAGGGCAUUCAACGGAAUACUGAACCAAAGGGAAGCCUGCUAGUCCUAUUGCCUUUACUAAAUCCAUCAGUAUUUUAAUUGCCUCCUGGUGAUAUUUUCCUAUCUUUGCAAGAGACUCCUGCAUGUUCAUCCCCCAACUUAGCAAAAAAACCCCAACCAACUUUCUUAAAUGAAAUACAUUCCCUAAGAAGCUGUAUUUUGCAGCUGACACAGUACAUUGUUUUAAAGCAAUGUUAUAUCAUAAAACAGGUGUCAGAAGGGAAUCUUCCAUACAAGUCUUCCCCUAUAUUAGCUACAGCAUGCAUCGAGUUAUCUUAAUCCUUCUAUGUGAAGGCAUUUCGGUCUGAUUCCUGAAAUAUUUAGCUGAAUUAUUUAUGAUUUCACCUGCUAUUACAGCUUCCAUUUGCCACUUAUUAAUGUCUAGGAUAGGCAACACAAGGUUGUAGGUUUUGCCUUUAUAUUUUGUGUGUAUGUUUACGUGUCUACGUAGACAUAGAAGCCUUGCAUCUGGUAGUGGUGGAAGCAAAAACAUAUAUGCCCUUUAACAGUUGACUCAAACACGUACAGCAAACAAGUCUCCAUAUUUGUUAUUACCAGACUGGAUUGAGUAGUUCUGAAGCACAGAAGUCUGGCUCCAAGUUGGGGUUUUUUUGUUGUUGUUUUUGCUGUUUUUAAAUUAAUGCUACACGAUUCAAAGGGAAGAGUUAAUAUAUUUAUGAUUUAAGAAAAUAUUUAGAAUAGUCUUUAGUACUCUAAUAACAACUUCCAUUACAUUAAAUUCAUAUACAUUGUAAUUCAGUCAGUGUUCUGUUACUUACUACAUUUCUAAUGAUUGAAGUACUAAAAGUCUACUUCUGAAAAGUACUUGUGUUCAGUUAUUGACAAUAGCUAUAUUUGAAGGGCUGGAAAAAGGGGCUUUUUCAAUAAAAGUGUGUUUAACUAUUCA
Molecule: long non-coding RNA, 4310 nt
Filed under: Athene cunicularia (burrowing owl)
Lineage: Eukaryota; Metazoa; Chordata; Aves; Strigiformes; Strigidae
Description: lncRNA (ENSACUG00000006716.1)
Source: RNAcentral